Molecule: ribosomal RNA, 465 nt
Filed under: uncultured bacterium
Lineage: Bacteria
Description: partial 16S ribosomal RNA
Rfam family: Bacterial small subunit ribosomal RNA
Source: RNAcentral
CCUACGGGUGGCAGCAGUAGGGAAUCUUCCACAAUGGACGAAAGCCUAACGGAGCAACGCCGCGUGAGUGAUGAAGGGUUUCGGCUCGUAAAGCUCUGUCGGCAGUGAAGAAAGAUAGAGGUAGUAACUGGCCUUUAUUUGACGGUACCUGCAUAGAAAGCCACGGCUAACUACGUGCCAGCAGCCGCGGUAAUACGUAGGUGGCAAGCGUUGUCCGGAUUUAUUGGGCGUAAAGCGAGCGCAGGCGGUUCAAUAAGUCAGAUGUGAAAGCCUUCGGCUCAACCGGGGAAUUGCAUCAGAAACUGUUGAACUUGAGUGCAGAAGAGGAGAGUGGAACUCCAGGUGUAGCGGUGGAAUGCGUAGAUAUAUGGAGGAACACCAGUGGCGAAGGCGGCUCUCUGGUCUACAACUGACGCUGAGGCUCGAAAGCAUGGGUAGCGAACAGGAUUAGAUACCCUGGUAGUC